GAGUUUGAUCCUGGCUCAGAUUGAACGCUGGCGGCAUGCCUAACACAUGCAAGUCGAACGGUAACAGCGGGAGCUUGCUCCUGGCUGACGAGUGGCGGACGGGUGAGUAACGCGUAGGAAUCUGCCUAAUAGAUGGGGACAACUCAGGGAAACUUGAGCUAAUACCGAAUACGCCCUACGGGGGAAAGCGGGGGAUCUUCGGACCUCGCGCUAUUAGAUGAGCCUGCGUUGGAUUAGCUAGUUGGUGGGGUAAAGGCCUACCAAGGCGACGAUCUCUAGCUGGUCUGAGAGGAUGAUCAGCCACACUGGAACUGAGACACGGUCCAGACUCCUACGGGAGGCAGCAGUGGGGAAUAUUGCACAAUGGGCGCAAGCCUGAUGCAGCCAUGCCGCGUGUGUGAAGAAGGCCCUGCGGGUUGUAAAGCACUUUCAAUUGGGAAGAAAGAUUUAGAGUUAAUACCUCUUAAUAUUGACGUUACCAAUAGAAGAAGCACCGGCUAACUCUGUGCCAGCAGCCGCGGUAAUACAGAGGGUGCGAGCGUUAAUCGGAAUUACUGGGCGUAAAGAGUACGUAGGUGGUUAAAUCAGUCGGAUGUGAAAGCCCCAGGCUUAACUUGGGAAUUGCAUUCGAUACUGUUUGACUAGAGUACAGUAGAGAGAAGCGGAAUUCCUAGUGUAGCGGUGAAAUGCGUAGAUAUUAGGAAGAACACCAGUGGCGAAGGCGGCUUCUUGGAUUGAUACUGACACUGAGGUACGAAAGCGUGGGGAGCAAACAGGAUUAGAUACCCUGGUAGUCCACGCCGUAAACGAUGUCAACUAGGUGCAGGGGAAUUUAUAAACCUUUAGUAUAGGAGCGAACGCGAUAAGGGCGCCGCCGGGGGAGGACGGCCGCAAGGGGAAAACGCAAAGGAAUGGACGGGGGCCCGCACAAGCGGUGGAGCAUGUGGUUUAAUUCGAUGCAACGCGAAUAACCUUACCUGGCCUUGACAUCCUUGGAAUUUCGCAGAAACGUGAAAGUGCCUUCGGGAGCAAAGAGCCAGGUGCUGCCGGCUGUCGUCAGCUCGUGUCGUGAGAUGUUGGGUUAAUUCCCGCAACGAGCGCAACCCUCGUCUUUAGUUGCCAGCGGUUAAGCUGGGCACUCUAAGGAGACUGCCUCCGUAAGGAGGAGGAAGGUGAGGACGACGUCAAGUCAUCAUGGCCCUUACGGCUAGGGCUACACACGUGCUACAAUGGGGCGUACAGAGUGUUGCGAUACCGCGAGGUGGAGCCAAUCACUUAAAGCGUCUCUCAGUUCGGAUUGGAGUCUGCAACUCGACUCCAUGAUGCUCGAAUCACUAGAAAUCGUAGAUCAGCAAUGCUACUGUGAAUACGUUCCCGGGUCUUGUACUCACCGCCCGUCACACCAUGGGAGUUGAUUUCACCCGAAAUUGGGAAGCUAACCUGGCUACCCUCCACGGUGGGAUCAGCGACUGGGGUGAAGUCGUAACGAGGUAAC
This 1495-nucleotide ribosomal RNA is filed under the name uncultured prokaryote. RNAcentral's name for it is "partial 16S ribosomal RNA". It matches the Rfam family "Bacterial small subunit ribosomal RNA". The record is from RNAcentral.